ACGAACGCUGGCGGCAGGCCUCACACCUGCAAGUCGAGCGCGGACUUCGGUCCUAGCGGCGGACGGGUGAGUAACGCGUGGGAACGUGCCCUUUGCUUCGGAAUAGCCCUGGGAAACUGGGAGUAAUACCGGAUGAGCCCUUUGGGGGAAAGAUUUAUCGGCGAAGGAUCGGCCCGCGUUGGAUUAGGUAGUUGGUGGGGUAAUGGCCUACCAAGCCGACGAUCCAUAGCUGGUUUGAGAGGAUGAUCAGCCACACUGGGACUGAGACACGGCCCAGACUCCUACGGGAGGCAGCAGUGGGGAAUCUUAGACAAUGGGGGAAACCCUGAUCUAGCCAUGCCGCGUGAGCGAUGAAGGCCUUAGGGUUGUAAAGCUCUUUCAGCUGGGAAGAUAAUGACGGUACCAGCAGAAGAAGCCCCGGCUAACUCCGUG
This 432-nucleotide ribosomal RNA is filed under the name uncultured bacterium. Its description in RNAcentral is "partial 16S ribosomal RNA". It matches the Rfam family "Bacterial small subunit ribosomal RNA", at positions 29 to 507 of the family's 1533-position model. The record is from RNAcentral.